Long non-coding RNA from Suricata suricatta (meerkat), 240 nucleotides. RefSeq lists it as uncharacterized. The transcript has 2 exons. Lineage: Eukaryota; Metazoa; Chordata; Mammalia; Carnivora; Herpestidae. The record is from RefSeq and is a predicted model, not a curated record.
CCUCAUUUCUGCUCUAUUUGACAACAGCUAGGGGCAGAGAGAAUUCAUAAUGAAAAGAAGCCUCUGACCUCUCAACCUCCUGUGAAAAGGAUGCAGGUUCAGAAGCUGUUCAACUCUGAACACGCCAUUUCUUAUGGAACAUGAAGGAUGACUCAGAGGAUGCAGCCAAGAAGCCAGACAGUAGAGCUAAGAGACGUGGAGAACCACUGCCAAGACCAAUUAAAGAACUGGUGACAUGUA